Long non-coding RNA from Anneissia japonica, 396 nucleotides. RefSeq lists it as uncharacterized. The transcript is spliced from 3 exons. The record is from RefSeq and is a predicted model, not a curated record. NCBI's taxonomy places the organism in Eukaryota, Metazoa, Echinodermata, Crinoidea, Comatulida, Comatulidae.
CUGUACCUGGUUAAAAAACCAAAUAAAUUGUAAUGUGGAAUUAUAAAAAGGCCUUUAACCAAGAUACAUUGCAAAUAACUGUACGGAGAUAGCCCAACAUAACUUGCCAGUGGGCCAGUCAGAAGUGAACUCUGGAACACUUUUCUGUAUCCACAGAUAGGAUAUGGAUACUUGGGCAACUUCUGCAGCAACACAAUCAACACCAGCACAAUGGGACUAUGUGCAGAAUCAAGUGGACACAUUUGUAGAUCAACAUAAAGAUGGAAAACAACAAGAGCCUCAGAGAUCUGGAAUAUCUAAGCACCAUUGGAUUAGUGUAGAUGUGCGGUUGAAAUGUGUGAAUCAAUAGUGUCUGAAGAACUUUACAAUCACUCAACAGAAGCAUCACUGUAGGAA